Long non-coding RNA from Sesamum indicum (sesame), 1499 nucleotides. RefSeq lists it as uncharacterized. Lineage: Eukaryota; Viridiplantae; Streptophyta; Magnoliopsida; Lamiales; Pedaliaceae. The record is from RefSeq and is a predicted model, not a curated record.
AUCAAAACCAAAAAUAAUAACAGUUGUCAUCAACCAAGACAAGACCGGCAUGUCCGCCGCGUCAAGAUGCCUCGUUUCCCUUUCUCACGCAGAUCCUCUUCUUACGCCCCUGCAUGCUCCCCCAUUCUGCUACUCAGACAUAUUUCAAGAUCCAGUUGAGAACGUUCAGUGCGGAGGCCGGAAACGAUGGUUCAGUGAGUUGCCGAAGCGACACCCCGGAUAAUGACCCGCUAUUCGAAGCGGACUGGUGCAGUUCCCGUCAAGUGCGGAAUGAUGGCCUUGUGGGAUAAGUGGGGUGCCAGGAUUCCCAUCACAAUUCUUGGUUAGAUGAUAACAUCGUCUCCCAAUUUAAAACCCCCAAAAAGGAAGGCUUUUGUCACUUCCGGUUCACAAUCUGUAUAUAAUAUAUGCUGCCUCUCUUUUGCUUUUGUUAUUUCUUUCUUUUACGUUUAUUUGAUUCGUCUAUAUGUUACAACGUUGCACGAUAUUGUGCUCAGCUCGUCUUAGUCUUGGAUAUGAUUCACAAAACUUGGGUGGUUUUUGAAAUAACUUUUGUUGGUUCAAGUCAGUUAAUUGUUGCACCUGUUAAAAAUAAACAAUUUGCUUGAGAUGCUGAUGCAGUAAAGCAUUAUGGCCUAGAAAUGCUGUUCAAAUACUUGGUAGACAAAGCAAGUUUUAGAAAUCAUAAAAACUUUACAUCAAGAUGGUCACGGGCACUUUCAAAGGGUUAGAGUGUAUGACCAUUCACAUUUGAUAUAUACUGCUUACUCAGAUUUGAUUUAACAGUCUCGAAGUCUAUCUUUGCCUUUAUCUAUAAUACUUUGAUGGGCUAAUGCUCUGGUGGCAGCUAGACUGGAUGUGAACAAAAAAAAAAACAGAAGCAUUCGUUCAAGCCAGAAGUAGGCCAUUAUAGAGCUCAAGGCGUGCCCAUGAAAAUGGAGCUGAGGGAGUUUCCUGUGAAUGAGGAUGCGCUUCUCCCAGGUGGAACUUCCAUAGGUGCCCUCCAUUUUCUUCCAGGACAGUAUGUGGAUGCCACUGGAAUUACAAAAGGGAAGGGUUGUCAGGUUCCAGGUGCAACAGGAAACUUUGAAUUCAUAAAAGAUGUUGUGUAUAUGAUGGGGAUUUUACUGAAUCACGGAGGUCGCAAGACGUGGUCGCACGGCUGAUUGCGAAUCAGUGUCAGUGGAAGACAUUACUGAGGUCGCUCAGUUAGUCAUUAUUCGUUGCGGGUUAUGGAUAUCCCUUUCGGGUCAGACUAAUCCAGAUCCGACCCACAUAAGGACCCAGACAGAUGGCAUGCUAAGGGAGUGCUUAGUCAUUGCAUGAACACAUUUUGAGGCGAUACGCAUUAGAAGAUAGGACCCACAAAAGAACCCUAUAAAUAGCCCACGCCAUGACAAUGAGAGAUAUUAGAUUCGGAGUGGUGACGUGGAGAGGUCGAGAUUUGUGAUCGAGAUCGAGCGUGAUCAACCCGGAUCAGUAUAGGAACCCACACAUUU